Molecule: ribosomal RNA, 467 nt
Filed under: uncultured Desulfobulbus sp.
Lineage: Bacteria; Pseudomonadati; Thermodesulfobacteriota; Desulfobulbia; Desulfobulbales; Desulfobulbaceae
Description: bacterial SSU rRNA
Rfam family: Bacterial small subunit ribosomal RNA
Source: RNAcentral
CCCGCACAAGCGGUGGAGCAUGUGGUUUAAUUCGAUGCAACGCGAAGAACCUUACCUGGUCUUGACAUCCCGGAGACCCUUAGGAAACUAGGGGUGCUUCCAUCUGGAAGAAUCUGGAGACAGGUGCUGCAUGGCUGUCGUCAGCUCGUGUCGUGAGAUGUUGGGUUAAGUCCCGCAACGAGCGCAACCCUUGCCUUUAGUUGCCAGCAGUUCGGCUGGGCACUCUAAAGGGACUGCCGGUGUUAAACCGGAGGAAGGUGGGGAUGACGUCAAGUCCUCAUGGCCUUUAUGACCAGGGCUACACACGUACUACAAUGGCCGAUACAAAGGGCAGCGACACUGCGAGGUGAAGCCAAUCCCGUAAAAUCGGUCUCAGUCCGGAUUGGAGUCUGCAACUCGACUCCAUGAAGUUGGAAUCGCUAGUAAUCGUGGAUCAGCAUGCCACGGUGAAUACGUUCCCGGGCCUU